RNAcentral lists this ribosomal RNA (312 nucleotides) under Triticum aestivum (bread wheat). RNAcentral's name for it is "partial small subunit ribosomal RNA". The record is from RNAcentral. Lineage: Eukaryota; Viridiplantae; Streptophyta; Magnoliopsida; Poales; Poaceae.
AUGGCUUGGCUAAGUUGGGAGAAAAUGAAACUACCCAAAGCAAUGGGAGGCAUGGGUUUCAGGGAUAUGAGUGCUUUUAAUCAGGCGUUGUUAGCAAAACAGGCCUGGUGUUUGUUGGACAGCCCUGAUAGUCUAUGUGCUUGUUUAUUGCGUGCAAAAUAUUUCCCUAAUGGGAAUUUGUUGGAUACAUUAUUUCCUAGCAGCUCUUCGGCGGUAUGGAAAGGUAUUGUUCAUGGACUUGAAUUAUUGAAGAAGGGCAUUAUCUGGCGGGUUGGUGAUGGUACACUAAUUAGAACUUGGCAGACCCUUGGA